CAAUAUUUAACUAACCGUGUAGGUAUAAUAAGUAUAUGACAAAUGUAUAAAUAAAUAAAAAUUAUCUUAUUUAACUUUAGAGUACCAACACUACAAACCUAGCUAUAAUGACAACGCGAAUACAAUAAUGUAAUCCAUACCUACGUUUUAUAUUGGUUUAAACAUUUCUACAUAAUUUAACAUUAAACAAUUAAGUACAGAUACCUAAUACGAGUCAAAUUAAUAUUGCA
Non-coding RNA from Cinara cedri, 230 nucleotides. The record is from the annotation of a GenBank genome assembly. Lineage: Eukaryota; Metazoa; Arthropoda; Insecta; Hemiptera; Aphididae.